GAUGAAGAACGUAGCGAAAUGCGAUAAGUAGUGUGAAUUGCAGAAUUCAGUGAAUCAUCGAAUCUUUGAACGCACAUUGCGCCCUUUGGUAUUCCAAAGGGCAUGCCUGUUCGAGCGUCAUUUGUACCCUCAAGCUUUGCUUGGUGUUGGGCGUCUUGUCUCUAGCUUUGCUGGAGACUCGCCUUAAAGUAAUUGGCAGCCGGCCUACUGGUUUCGGAGCGCAGCACAAGUCGCACUCUCUAUCAGCAAAGGUCUAGCAUCCAUUAAGCCUUUUUUUUCAACUUUUGACCUCGGAUCAGGUAGGGAUACCCGCUGAACUUAAGCAUAUCAAUAAGCGGGGA
Molecule: unclassified non-coding RNA, 341 nt
Filed under: soil metagenome
Description: partial contains 5.8S ribosomal RNA, internal transcribed spacer 2, and large subunit ribosomal RNA
Rfam family: 5.8S ribosomal RNA (bases 1-120)
Source: RNAcentral